UUCUCUGUAGCGCAGAAGUAGAUUUAUUUAUGCACGUAGCAUGACUACCAUUGCAUCAGUUAGAUUUAUUUAUGCACGUAGCAUGACUACCAUUGCAACAAUUGAUGCGCGGUGCUAUAUUUUUGAGGUAUGAUUACUCUGCAUACAGACAGUCAAGUGGAAAGGUGUUUGAUCGUGCAUGCUCAAGAGGUUGAUCACAAAAAUAAAAAUGCAUCUCUUGUUGUAAAAUUUAUAAAUAUUAUCUUUACCUAUGUAAAUAAACAACAGUCACUAUGAUAUGUGAGUGUCACUUUUGCAUUCAGUAGUGUGGUAUUCCCAUGAUUAUAUAAAAUAUACUUUUGUGAUUUGAUGAUAUGUCUAUGAUAAUGAUAUGCAACAAUGUGCUAAAAGUGAAGAAAAGACGAGUUCUUAAAAGAGUGAUAC
This is a long non-coding RNA of Capsicum annuum, 423 nucleotides long. RefSeq lists it as uncharacterized. The record is from RefSeq and is a predicted model, not a curated record. NCBI's taxonomy places the organism in Eukaryota, Viridiplantae, Streptophyta, Magnoliopsida, Solanales, Solanaceae. The transcript has 3 exons.